RNAcentral lists this long non-coding RNA (3000 nucleotides) under Zea mays. Its description in RNAcentral is "long non-coding RNA (ZMAY_LNC002909)". The record is from RNAcentral. Lineage: Eukaryota; Viridiplantae; Streptophyta; Magnoliopsida; Poales; Poaceae.
UUGAAUGAUAAAACGGUGGCUCUCUUGAGCUUGGUAUUGCUUGUCCUAUUUUGGCAAAUAUAGUGUUGUAUCCUAGUUUUUUUUACAAAGGGGAACACCCCCUAUUUCAUUACGAAAUAGACAGAAACAUAGUUCAUACAUGACCGUUAAGGCCACCAGAAAACGAAAAGCCGACAAAACGCACGCAACUAUCAGCUAAAGAAAACAUAACACGGGGAAAGCCUUCCACCGAGGAGUUUCAGACCAUCUAACAUAUUUGCCCAAAAGCAGAGAACAAAGAGCCACACCGAAAGUGACAAGAGCAUGACAUCGCAAACUAAGAACUUAAACAAGUUUACGAACAGAGCACCCACAUGAAUACAGCUCCCAGCACGGUUAAACCAAAAGGACAUACUAACAUACAAACUUCAUUGAAUGCGUCUAUCAACCGACUUCCAUCCAUGAGCUUUUCUGAAAAUUUCACUUGUUGUCUUUCGAAUUCUGAGGUUUCCUUGCUCCACCAGUUUUUUCCUUCUCUUUCUGUCGAAUUGUCCAAGCGUCAAUCCAGAAACAACAUGAGAAGAUCACAUUAGUCGGAUCAUCAAUCAAAUUAUCAUUAAAACAACAAUCAUUUUGAGAGCGCCAAAUCGCCUAGAUGACUGCGCCACAACCGAAAAGGACCAGAUUUUUUCAGUUUUGCUAAAACUGUUAAUCCAAGGUCCAAAGAGAUUUUCAACAUCACUGGGAAUAGAAUUCAAGUUAAGGGUUGUUUGAAUUAUUCUCCAAAUAAACCUAGCAACAGAGCAUUGGAAGAAAAGAUGAUUUAUAGACUCUGGUAGUCCACAAAAAACACAAUUAAGAUUCCACUUCCAGUUUCUUUUGCUCAGAUUGUCUUUUGUUAAAAUCUUAUUGUGGAAAACAUUACAAUGUUGUAUCUAAACAAUGUUUCUCAAAACCAUGAUAUUUUGGAGCUGCUAAAACUAUGGUAUUGUCAUGACAAUUACAAAGUAUAGUAUUGUAAAACCAUGGUUUUGAAAAACAUUGUUGACAAACAGGCCCUUCGGGUUAGAGUGGAGUUUUUAAAUACUCUAAAAAUACUAUGAUAACUACUAAACCAUGGUAUUCAAAACAAAGUUUUUUACAUGGUACCCAAACAUCUCUUGGCAAAAAAAUAGCAUAGUAUUCUUCAAUACCAUGGUUUUAUCUCAAAACUCCAAAAAUACUCUAUUUCCAAACAGGAUUUCCUCCCUCAUGGAUCCCCUCCAAUUCACUUGUCACCAAACUAGCCUUUUGAAUAGCAAGGGAUUUUCUCCCCCAUAGAUCCUCUCCGAUUCCCUUGUCAUCGAACUGUGGGUGGUAAUAGAUCAUGAUCCAAAUGUUUAUUCACAAAUUGCUAGGGCCCUAAAUCAUUUUUAGUUUAAAAAUCGAUAGAAAUAUGAUCCGAUCCUAACUCGAUCCGAUCCUUACUUUUUACAGUGUAAAAUUUAGAGCUCAUUGUCACCCCUACAUUGAACCAGUCUUUAGUGUUUUAGUGUUUUUGAGGGAGUUAGCCCAAGUAUCUAGUUGAUGCUGCAAAAGGAGACAAUUGCAUAUUUAGGACUUCAAACAUCGCGCUUCGCAAUAAUGCCAUCCAAAACAUUUGUUUCGUAAAAAUAGGACUACAAACAUGUUCUAAUUGAUUAUACUACCAUUUGCCAUAUAUUCUUUCUUUUAUAAUUUCUUUCCACGUAUUUUGAAUCUGAGACAAAAUUAUCCUUCUGUAUGAGAAUGUGUGGGAGAGAGAUGUGGUCUCUAACUCUCUGGUGUUCAGUCGGAGGUUAAGCCCUCUAUAAUGUUUCCCUCAGGAUCUCUGUUCUGAGUUGGUGUGUGUAGUGUUGGACAGCAACUAGUCGCUGUAAUUUGGAGUGUGUUUCCGUUGGUGUUGGGGGUUUCUGGAUUGGUCUCUUGACUUCCCAUUUGUAGUCUGUUUUACUUAAUGAAAUGACACGUAUAGAGAAAAAAUAGCUUUUAAUUAUUUUUUCACCUGUACACCUGGAUCAUAUUUAUUGUAUAAUAUUCUUCAUCUAAUUUUUGGUUUGAAAUGGAAGUGAACGAGAAAGGGAGCAAUCUGGUGUCACAAUCUCCUGUCGUUGCAUGUGGUCACAUUUGGCUAAUCUGAGAGCUUCUGGCGGCAGCUUCCAUGAGCACUAUAAUCCAUAAUGGUGCACUAUUGCCCCCUGCUGCAGCACUUGUCCCAACACUCUGGCCCUAGUUUUUUUUUGAGGUGGACAUGCCCCAUUGAGUCACAAGCCAUGUGAUUGGUUACCUGCACCAUUUGAUCCUGAGCUAUUGUAUGCAUUGACUUUAUGCAAGCACCUGUUUGGUUACCUGUAUGUGACAGACGUGAGCUGCACGAGUAGAUACAAAAUAAUUUAUUUUACUGCUAUUUUUCUAUAUCCGCCGGUACGCCCGAAAUCUGCGUAUGCGGCUGGCCAGGCUCGCGCCUGCCCGGCUUCGCACAGCCGGCCAACCAAUCAGCCCAAAGGUGUGAUCUUGAAUCCCAGUGGCAUGCUAUGAAUAAAAAAUAUGCAGAUACAACGAAGGUAAUUAUUUAUAGCAUUGCAUUUUAUUUAUUUUGUUGUGACCAUUUUAUUGUGGUACACAAGGCCAUAUAUUAUUUGUUAAAUUUGGUAGUUGUUUAGAAACUUCUAUUAAACAAGAUUGAAGGACAAAGCAAAUUCUUGGUUGAAGCUUAACUAACAUAGGAGAGAACUAUUAUAACAUUCAGUUCAAAAUGGCCUAUGUGUAUCAGAUAUGCCUUAUAUUUUUCCUUUUUACCAUGGAAUGGACAUGCAAAGGAUAUUGCUAAGUGGAGGGCAAAAGAUAUCAAAUUGAAAUUGGAAUCUAUGAAACAAUACCUGCAGAGGGAGAAACGUAUUAAUAGUAUAGCUCUAGUCACAGCCCGAAGUGCUCAAAGGGAGAAUGCUGCAACUCCGCGGGUGACACGGGCGGCGACUCCGCCACCACCACAACACCCGCCGC